Molecule: ribosomal RNA, 301 nt
Filed under: uncultured bacterium
Lineage: Bacteria
Description: partial 16S ribosomal RNA
Rfam family: Bacterial small subunit ribosomal RNA
Source: RNAcentral
CAGUAGCCACGGUAAUACGGAGGGCGCGAGCGUUACCCGGAUUUACUGGGCGUAAAGGGCGUGUAGGCGGCCUGGGGCGUCCCAUGUGAAAGGCCACGGCUCAACCGUGGAGGAGCGUGGGAUACGCUCAGGCUAGAGGGUGGGAGAGGGUGGUGGAAUUCCCGGAGUAGCGGUGAAAUGCGCAGAUACCGGGAGGAACGCCGAUGGCGAAGGCAGCCACCUGGUCCACUUCUGACGCUGAGGCGCGAAAGCGUGGGGAGCAAACCGGAUUAGAUACCCGAGUAGUCCCUGUCUCUUAUAA